This is a microRNA precursor of Taeniopygia guttata (zebra finch), 85 nucleotides long. NCBI's taxonomy places the organism in Eukaryota, Metazoa, Chordata, Aves, Passeriformes, Estrildidae. The record is from Ensembl.
GCCCUGGGAAGGGGAGGAGCGAGGAAGGGGAUGGGAUGGGCUAACCAGGGUCCAUCCCCUGCCUCUCUUCUCCCUUUCCUGGGGC